GAUGAACGCUGGCGGCGUGCCUAAUACAUGCAAGUCGAGCGAACGGACGAGAAGCUUGCUUCUCUGAUGUUAGCGGCGGACGGGUGAGUAACACGUGGAUAACCUACCUAUAAGACUGGGAUAACUUCGGGAAACCGGAGCUAAUACCGGAUAAUAUUUUGAACCGCAUGGUUCAAAAGUGAAAGACGGUCUUGCUGUCACUUAUAGAUGGAUCCGCGCUGCAUUAGCUAGUUGGUAAGGUAACGGCUUACCAAGGCAACGAUGCUUAGCCGACCUGAGAGGGUGAUCGGCCAAACUGGAACUGAGACACGGUCCAGACUCCUACGGGAGGCAGCAGUAGGGAAUCUUCCGCAAUGGGCGAAAGCCUGACGGAGCAACGCCGCGUGAGUGAUGAAGGUCUUCGGAUCGUAAAACUCUGUUAUUAGGGAAGAACAUAUGUGUAAGUAACUGUGCACAUCUUGACGGUACCUAAUCAGAAAGCCACGGCUAACUACGUG
RNAcentral lists this ribosomal RNA (497 nucleotides) under uncultured bacterium. RNAcentral describes it as "partial 16S ribosomal RNA". It matches the Rfam family "Bacterial small subunit ribosomal RNA", at positions 28 to 507 of the family's 1533-position model. The record is from RNAcentral.